ACAAAACCAUGUGGAGUUUGAAAGACAUGGUCAAUGAGUCCCAUGUUGAAUUACAGAGGUCACAGGAAAAUUUCAGUGAUGCUUUUCAGAGUGUGCAGAACUAACUCUUAAAUAAAUGGGUACCAUGACCGGAAGGGAAAAGUCAGUCUGCUUAGCUUGCCUCUAUGCAGGAAAAACCCAGACAGAAAAUUAUAACUGAGCCUGUUCCCCCUAACUCAGUGGAGUCACAGGAGGGCCGUACGACUGCUAGCAGGGCCAGGAGAGCGCCACUGCAUUUCAGGGAAACGGGGUAGUUCAGGGUCAUGGUAGGGUAAAGGCAAAGAAGCACAAGUAAAUGCUUAUAAUAGUGUGUUCCAAACAAUAAAACCUCAUGGUUUCCUGUGUCUGAUCCAUAUCCACCCUUACACUGUUUGGUUGGGAAGGUGGAUUUCAUUCAUUGUUUGGGUUCAUUUUUCUGUUUGUUUUUCCUGCCGCUUGCAGCAUGGGGCCGAGGGGAGGGGUUGGCAAUCUCUCUUGUACAGCUAUACAGUGGGGAUUCAGAGGUAAAUAGGGGGGCUGCCUGGGUGGGUCACAACACACAGGUGCUGGCCUGCACACUAGCAUUUUGCAAAGGCAGCACCCAAUCUGGAAAGUCACUUUUGAGGUCAUCUUGUUUCUGAUUUCACUUCCCUUAGUUGGGAGAAGGGAAGUGGUGUAUCACCCCCCAGCAGCCUGGAUUGCUUUUUGGCAAGCCAGACUGCAAAGUCAUCCACAGGUGUUCAUGCCUUCCCAGUUGGGUCUGCCUAUGGUGUGUGGUAGUGAGGCUCUUUGGCUCACUUUUCACAACCCUUGCAUUUUCCCUAGAUGGAAACUUUGUAAAUGAGCUUUUUCAGCACUCUUUUUGCACUCCUUUCUAGCCAGGUGCCAGGCAGUGUCUC
Long non-coding RNA from Gavialis gangeticus (Gharial), 917 nucleotides. RefSeq lists it as uncharacterized. The record is from RefSeq and is a predicted model, not a curated record. Lineage: Eukaryota; Metazoa; Chordata; Crocodylia; Gavialidae. The transcript has 3 exons.